Molecule: ribosomal RNA, 497 nt
Filed under: uncultured bacterium
Lineage: Bacteria
Description: partial 16S ribosomal RNA
Rfam family: Bacterial small subunit ribosomal RNA
Source: RNAcentral
GAUGAACGCUGGCGGCGUGCCUAAUACAUGCAAGUCGAGCGAACAGAUGAGGAGCUUGCUCCUCUGACGUUAGCGGCGGACGGGUGAGUAACACGUGGAUAACCUACCUAUAAGACUGGGAUAACUUCGGGAAACCGGAGCUAAUACCGGAUAAUAUAUUGAACCGCAUGGUUCAAUAGUGAAAGACGGUUUUGCUGUCACUUAUAGAUGGAUCCGCGCCGCAUUAGCUAGUUGGUAAGGUAACGGCUUACCAAGGCAACGAUGCGUAGCCGACCUGAGAGGGUGAUCGGCCACACUGGAACUGAGACACGGUCCAGACUCCUACGGGAGGCAGCAGUAGGGAAUCUUCCGCAACGGGCGAAAGCCUGACGGAGCAACGCCGCGUGAGUGAUGAAGGUCUUCGGAUCGUAAAACUCUGUUAUUAGGGAAGAACAAAUGUGUAAGUAACUAUGCACGCCUUGACGGUACCUAAUCAGAAAGCCACGGCUAACUACGUG